RNAcentral lists this ribosomal RNA (502 nucleotides) under uncultured bacterium. RNAcentral's name for it is "partial 16S ribosomal RNA". It matches the Rfam family "Bacterial small subunit ribosomal RNA", at positions 28 to 507 of the family's 1533-position model. The record is from RNAcentral.
GACGAACGCUGGCGGCGUGCCUAAUACAUGCAAGUCGAACGAACCGCGACUAAGUGCUUGCACUAAGUCAAGGUGAGUGGCGAACGGGUGAGUAACACGUGGGUAACCUACCUCAUAGUGGGGGAUAACAGUCGGAAACGACUGCUAAUACCGCAUAGGACAUAGGAUCACAUGAUCCAGUGAGGAAAGGUGUCGCAAGCUAUCGCUAAGAGAUGGACCCGCGGUGCAUUAGCUAGUUGGUAGGGUAAAGGCCUACCAAGGCGAUGAUGCAUAGCCGACCUGAGAGGGUGAUCGGCCACAUUGGGACUGAGACACGGCCCAAACUCCUACGGGAGGCAGCAGUAGGGAAUCUUCCGCAAUGGACGCAAGUCUGACGGAGCAACGCCGCGUGAGUGAAGAAGGUCUUCGGAUCGUAAAGCUCUGUUGUUAGAGAAGAACAGCGCAUAGAGUAACUGCUAUGCGUGUGACGGUACCUAACCAGAAAGCCACGGCUAACUACGUG